AUAUUAAAACUAAAAACAAAGGUGAGGUGUGCGUGUACAGUAAUACAAAUGAUUGGAGGGGGGAGGGAAGCCAAAGUGGCACAUGCAUUUGUAUCGGGGAAUGGGAUGGGCACGAUCAGUCCAGCACUAAUGCACUGAAUUCCAUAAGAACUCUGCAGUUAAGUGUCCUUGGAAUCCCACUAAAUCCUCAUGUUGCACCCGUUUUUUUUCGGAUAGAGCAUUAAACAUUACGCCCGACCGGAGAUACGGUCCAUCGGUUCAUUCGCUGGCGUAAGUCUUAGCGCCAUGGCAUUUUACUUCAUAUUUUUCGUGCAUUCAUUUAUACUCCACCACGUGAUAAGAGUGUCAUUAC
This 352-nucleotide long non-coding RNA is filed under the name Carica papaya (papaya). RNAcentral describes it as "long non-coding RNA (CPAP_LNC000224)". The record is from RNAcentral. Lineage: Eukaryota; Viridiplantae; Streptophyta; Magnoliopsida; Brassicales; Caricaceae.